RNAcentral lists this long non-coding RNA (259 nucleotides) under Elaeis guineensis (African oil palm). Its description in RNAcentral is "long non-coding RNA (EGUI_LNC019968)". Lineage: Eukaryota; Viridiplantae; Streptophyta; Magnoliopsida; Arecales; Arecaceae. The record is from RNAcentral.
CACUGGAAGGUGGAGGGCUCAGUGUUGCCUUCAAGCAAGAAGCUGGAAAGAUCAAGUCCUGAGAAUGCCAUCCUGAUUCAAUUCCUGCACAUCCAAAAGUUGAUCAUGUAGCCUGUGUCGAACAUACAUCAGACUGUGUCAUCCAGAGAUGCGGGGUCUACUGGUCCUUGUCUGACUAGGCUCUGGGUCAACUUUCCCUCGAUGUGUAUUCGAUAGCGACAUCUAUUCCCCAAGCACUCAAGUCUGGAGAUCUUCUCCC